This 777-nucleotide ribosomal RNA is filed under the name uncultured Enterobacteriaceae bacterium. RNAcentral's name for it is "bacterial SSU rRNA". It matches the Rfam family "Bacterial small subunit ribosomal RNA", at positions 723 to 1502 of the family's 1533-position model. The record is from RNAcentral. Lineage: Bacteria; Pseudomonadati; Pseudomonadota; Gammaproteobacteria; Enterobacterales; Enterobacteriaceae.
GGCCUUCUGGACAGUACUGACGCUGAGAUGCGAAAGCGUGGGGAGCAAACAGGAUUAGAUACCCUGGUAGUCCACGCUGUAAACGAUGUCGAUUUGGAGUUGUUGCCUAGAGUGAUGGGCUCCGAGGCUAACGCGAUAAAUCGACCGCCUGGGGAGUACGGCCGCAAGGUUAAAACUCAAAUGAAUUGACGGGGGCCCGCACAAGCGGUGGAGCAUGUGGCUUAAUUCGAUGCAACGCGAAGAACCUUACCUGGUCUUGACAUCCAUAGAAUUCUGCAGAGAUGUGGGAGUGCCUUCGGGAACUAUGAGACAGGUGCUGCAUGGCUGUCGUCAGCUCGUGUUGUGAAAUGUUGGGUUAAGUCCCGCAACGAGCGCAACCCUUAUUCUUUGUUGCCAGCGAUUUGGUCGGGAACUCAAAGGAGACUGCCGUUGAUAAAGCGGAGGAAGGUGGGGACGACGUCAAGUCAUCAUGGCCCUUACGACCAGGGCUACACACGUGCUACAAUGGCGUAUACAAAGGGAAGCGAAGGUGCGAGCUGGAGCGGAUCUCAUAAAGUACGUCUAAGUUCGGAUUGGAGUCUGCAACUCGACUCCAUGAAGUCGGAAUCGCUAGUAAUCGUAGAUCAGAAUGCUACGGUGAAUACGUUCCCGGGCCUUGUACACACCGCCCGUCACACCAUGGGAGUGGGUUGCACCAGAAGUAGAUAGCUUAACCGCGAGGGGGGCGUUUACCACGGUGUGAUUCAUGACUGGGGUGAAGUCGUAACAAGGUAACCA